GUGGGGAAUCUUGCGCAAUGGGCGAAAGCCUGACGCAGCCAUGCCGCGUGAAUGAUGAAGGUCUUAGGAUUGUAAAAUUCUUUCACCGGGGACGAUAAUGACGGUACCCGGAGAAGAAGCCCCGGCUAACUUCGUGCCAGCAGCCGCGGUAAUACGAAGGGGGCUAGCGUUGCUCGGAAUUACUGGGCGUAACGGGCGCGUAGGCGGACAGUUUAGUCAGAGGUGAAAGCCCAGGGCUCAACCUUGGAAUUGCCUUUGAUACUGGCUGUCUUGAGUACGGGAGAGGUGAGUGGAACUCCGAGUGUAGAGGUGAAAUUCGUAGAUAUUCGGAAGAACACCAGUGGCGAAGGCGACUCACUGGCCCGUUACUGACGCUGAGGCGCGAAAGCGUGGGGAGCAAACAGGAUUAGAUACCCGUGUAGUCC
This 425-nucleotide ribosomal RNA is filed under the name uncultured bacterium. RNAcentral describes it as "partial 16S ribosomal RNA". It matches the Rfam family "Bacterial small subunit ribosomal RNA", at positions 354 to 796 of the family's 1533-position model. The record is from RNAcentral.